This 1422-nucleotide long non-coding RNA is filed under the name Rattus norvegicus (Norway rat). Its description in RNAcentral is "long non-coding RNA NONRATT024206". The record is from RNAcentral. Lineage: Eukaryota; Metazoa; Chordata; Mammalia; Rodentia; Muridae.
AUUGAAGCCCUACCUUUAUUUUUAACAUAGAAAGGGUGGUCCAGCUUGCACUCCACAGUAAGCAAGCCAUCUUCUACUGUACCAGGAUCAAAUGUCAACUUCAGUACAGACUCACCGAAUGACACACUCUCUUCAUGGGAUAACAACUUUAGACCAUCAGACCCAUAGCCCUGAAAGCAUAUGCGUGGACUAAAUAAACUGGAAAUGUUCAAUUCAACACACAGUGAAACUCCCAAUAUGUCUUGAUUAGAAAAGGUAAAUUUAGUCAGUAUCUCCAGCUUUAAAGUACUUUCAACCAAGUAGUAAAGAAACACACACAUAAAUGACCACAGAAUAUAUGUCAGACCGGAAUAUGCAUUUUAACCCAAACAUAAGUAAUAUGAGAUUUAAUAAACAAAGACUAAUUCUAAGAUAGACUAAGGAGACACCCUCUGUCUUCCCUUAGUUUGCACAGCAGCAGUACCCUAGUUCUGUCCUUUGCCGAUUGCUGGCAGUGUGAUGUCUUCCUCCUCACAGCCCUAGUGACUGGAGCACUAUUUGUCUUUAAAGCCACUUAGUUUUCUAGAAUAAGAGCGUUUAAAGCAUGAAACUGCACAUAACACCAACCACCCAUCUUAGAAGCAUAACUGGGAAGUGAUACAGUCAUGGUUCUAUCCACCUCACUAGGCAGUGAGUGUUCACACAGAGUGCAAGGUCCACUUAAACAGGAAUCCAAGUAGAGGGUUCCUCUAGAUUAACCGUAAGGUUGAUCAGUGUGAAAUUCUUAGAAGGAUUUUAAAUGAACCUUGUGAGUGCCCAUUUGGAUCUCCUCCUCAUCACAGCUGGCGGCUCUAGCAAAGUCUUCAACAUCUUGCCACUCCUUUUUGCUUUCCUUAUGGAAGCACAGUCGUGUGCCUGAAGUGGAAUUAGAAAGAAGGGUCAGCCAACAUGCUCAGUGUGCUACCCAAGGCAGCUGCAAAACACAAGUCUUCCUUCACCUUUGAGAAAGCAAUGCCAAACGGUUGAUGGCCAGGAAUUGCACCAGCCCAGAUCAUCAUCAUCUGACAGGGAGGACAUGCAGAAAAUUCCUGACUCUGACUCACUGUUUGCCUGUAGAGAGAAAACAGAAACUUCUGUUUUGUUAUUUUUUUUUAAAGAUCUUUUAAUACCUCUUCUAAACUCAAGCUUUCAAAUGUUACUUAAUUGUAAGCUUAAGGAAAGUAAGCUUUCAAUACUGAAGGAUGUUUUGAAGUUUUAAAUACUGUCAUUUCCUAAAAAUAGAAAUACAGAAUCAAACACGUACAAUUAAUAAACAAUGAAAUAUUUUGUCCAUCUGUAUGUUCUUCAAAAGAAUUUCUUAGAUGGGGGAAAGAUAAUGUUUUCAACCAUUAUAUAAACUUUGUAGAAGCCUGACUUCAUGAAUAAACUCACCCUUUCAUGUCU